UGGUUCUGGCAUCGAUGAAGAACGCAGCGAAAUGCGAUAAGUAAUGUGAAUUGCAGAAUUCAGUGAAUCAUCGAAUUUUUGAACGCAUAUUGCACCUUUUGGUAUUCCGAAAGGUAUGCCUGUUCGAGCGUCAUUACAACCCUCAAACUUGGAUUUGAUGUUGGGCAUAUUGCUGUUAUGGCAUGCCUAAAAAUUAAUGAUGGUAACCUUCAACCAUGGGCGCACAGAUGUCGCUAUAAUGGGGAUGGGUCGCUAUCUCAAACGAUAAUAUCUAAAUGUUGACCUCGGAUCAGGUAGGGAUACCCGCUGA
This 310-nucleotide unclassified non-coding RNA is filed under the name uncultured fungus. RNAcentral's name for it is "partial contains 5.8S ribosomal RNA and internal transcribed spacer 2". The stretch from base 1 to 133 matches the Rfam family "5.8S ribosomal RNA", at positions 22 to 154 of the family's 154-position model. Lineage: Eukaryota; Fungi. The record is from RNAcentral.